GCCUGGGUGGCUCAGCGGUUGAGCAUCUGCCUUCUGCACAAGGCGUGGGAUCCGGGAUCUAGUCCCACAUCAGGCU
This 76-nucleotide transfer RNA is filed under the name Canis lupus familiaris (dog). It matches the Rfam family "tRNA". Rfam says of the family: Transfer RNA (tRNA) molecules are approximately 80 nucleotides in length. Their secondary structure includes four short double-helical elements and three loops (D, anti-codon, and T loops). RNAcentral also lists the same sequence under 1 other name. Lineage: Eukaryota; Metazoa; Chordata; Mammalia; Carnivora; Canidae. The record is from Rfam by way of RNAcentral.